UCCCUACAGUUGUGGCAUUUACAGUGGAAUAGGAGAGCUUAAUAUUAAACAGUUACAUAAACAAUUAUUCAAUUACAAUAUGAUUAAUGAUACAAAGAACAAAUAUAGCGUGCAAUAAGAGCAUAUAAAUGAAAAAUAUAAUUUAGUUGGAUAUGUCAGGGAAAUGUCCCUGAGAAAAAGACAGCUAACCUUAAUAUUAAAACUUAUUUACUCAAAAAUAAGUGUGCGAAACUGUAUAGUUAACUUAUCUUCAAUUCAGUCAAUCUAAAACAUCAACUAAAUAAUGUAUUCACAGAUAUACCACACAAUGACAGUUAGUGUUCGUAAUGAUAAUCUUGGAUGAGAAAAGAGCCUACAGGGUCUUUUAGAUCAUCACAGUUAAAUUAUACUUGGCUAAUAUAGUUUGAAUAUUUAGUACAAUUUCAUGUUCAAAACUUCUGAAACACUUUUAUUCACAUGUAGACCAUAUAAUACUUAUAUUAUAGUAGACCAUCCUAUUUCACAAUCAAAUUAUACAACAGUAUACUAAAUUAUCAUAUCAGUUUUUUGUUUCUUUAAUAGUUGCUAAUAUAUGUGUAUAGUUGUGAACAUACCUGUAUAUGUGUAUGUGAUAUGUAUAUAUAUCAACUGUAUAGUUAAAACACCACAUGUAUAGAAGAGACCAUCUGACUAGUAUUUAAGCUUAGCCAUGAGAAUGGAAUUUGGAAGAUGAAGAAUGUGACCUGGAGGAAAGAAGAAAAUGAUUACAGAGGGGCAUUUGAGAGUGAGAGGAUAGAGAAGAGAGAAAGAGGUUGAGGAAAGAAGAUAUCAGAGUCCCCUCACUGCCCUCCCCAUUAACACACUCAAGGCUAAGCUAGUGAGGGGAGAGUAUCUUUGGGAUACUGGACAAAAUAUGGAAUUCCAAGAACCAGGAAGCUUUUGUCUUAUUCUAAAAGGAUAUAACUUGCAGGCUGUCUCCAGAUCAAUUGAGUGGUAGAUCCAUAUUACAAAUAAACAUGAUAGCAGAGUGUGAUUAGGCAGAAGAAGGUGCAUCUCAGCACCUCCUUCUGUGUAAUGUGGAAAUGAGCAGCUAUUGUAGUGGGAAUGAGCAACUCCACAGUAAAGGCAUUAGGCUGUGCCAUCUGGGCAGUGGAUGACAGAGAUAUCAGUGUGUGGCUGGGGUCUGAAGCCUGUUCAGGGUCAAGAUGAGCCUAAGUCAUCCAGAAAGGCUGAUGAAAUCAGCAAAAGUCAGCCAGACAAAGGGCACUGUCAAGGCCAUCAUAUGGCUCUAAGCAUCCCUUUUCCCACCUCCUCAAGAGCACCAAGAAAGACACCAACAUCCAUUGCCAAUUUCCUUCUCCUUGCCAGUAGGGAGGCUGAAAAAAAACAGAUACUCUCUUUCUAUUAAUAUAUCUUCCUUAUAGAGUAGGAUGGAUAUUUGGCUAAGUAUUGAUCAAUAAGAUAAAGUGGAAUUUGCUGGGUGGUGGGCGGGGGUCCUUUGUGUAAUAAUUUUGUGUCUUGAUAAAGUAGGAAUAUGGCUGGGACCAUCCCUGACUCUCUUUUUUCCUUGAAUGUGAACACAUGAGUGAAGCAUACAUCCAUUGUCCAUGGGGCAAGAAACAUGAGGAUGAAAAGCCAAUAUGUUAAGGACAUGAAGUGAAAAGCGGGAAGAGCUUCUUAUUCAUGUUAUCACUGAGCAGCGGGAACUGGGGGCUCUGCUCAUUAUAGUUGCCCACGGCCUCCAGUCAAUGAAAUUUCCGGCCAAUGAAAUGCUCUACUGUGACUGAAGCAGCAAAGAGAAGAUGGGUGGCUUUGAAAUCAGAA
Molecule: long non-coding RNA, 1803 nt
Filed under: Homo sapiens (human)
Lineage: Eukaryota; Metazoa; Chordata; Mammalia; Primates; Hominidae
Description: non-protein coding lnc-BCKDHB-1:2
Source: RNAcentral